RNAcentral lists this ribosomal RNA (460 nucleotides) under uncultured bacterium. Its description in RNAcentral is "partial 16S ribosomal RNA". It matches the Rfam family "Bacterial small subunit ribosomal RNA", at positions 338 to 795 of the family's 1533-position model. The record is from RNAcentral.
CCUACGGGUGGCAGCAGUGAGGAAUAUUGGGCAAUGGGCGCAAGCCUGAACCAGCCAAGUCGCGUGAGGGAUGACGGUCCUAUGGAUUGUAAACCUCUUUUGUCGGGGAGCAAGGCCCGCCACGUGUGGCGGGAAGGAGAGUACCCGAAGAAAAAGCAUCGGCUAACUCCGUGCCAGCAGCCGCGGUAAUACGGAGGAUGCGAGCGUUAUCCGGAUUUAUUGGGUGUAAAGGGUGCGUAGGCGGAAGUUUAAGUCAGCGGUCAAAUGUCGGUGCUCAACACCGGCCUGCCGUUGAAACUGGUCGUCUUGAGUGAGCGAGAAGUAUGCGGAAUGCGUGGUGUAGCGGUGAAAUGCAUAGAUAUCACGCAGAACUCCGAUUGCGAAGGCAGCAUACCGGCGCUCAACUGACGCUGAGGCACGAAAGCGUGGGGAUCGAACAGGAUUAGAUACCCCAGUAGUC